Long non-coding RNA from Salvia splendens (bonfire salvia), 314 nucleotides. RefSeq lists it as uncharacterized. The transcript has 3 exons. Lineage: Eukaryota; Viridiplantae; Streptophyta; Magnoliopsida; Lamiales; Lamiaceae. The record is from RefSeq and is a predicted model, not a curated record.
UCCACGUCUUCCCAAAUUUCUCAUUUCCCCCAAAUUUCUCCGCCCCACUCCACGCCGCCGCCCAACCGCCGUCGCCCAGUUCUGAAAUGGCGCUGCUCACUACCACAAGCCAGUUACCGGCCUCGUCGCUACCCAGGUUACUAGCUAGUCCGCCGCCCCUUUAUUCCAAUUGAGGAGGAGUUGCAAGAUGAGAAUUCUGAGAGAUGAUAUUAGGAAGGAAAAGCAUAUUAUAUCUCAUUUCGUGAGUGAUUAAAUGAAGUUCUUACGAAGAUGAAGCUAAGCAAGAAAUGUAAUGUGAAGUUGUUAUAAGGAGC